Phyllopteryx taeniolatus (common seadragon) is the source of this 1280-nucleotide long non-coding RNA. RefSeq lists it as uncharacterized. The record is from RefSeq and is a predicted model, not a curated record. Lineage: Eukaryota; Metazoa; Chordata; Actinopteri; Syngnathiformes; Syngnathidae. The transcript is spliced from 3 exons.
UUCAUGUAUUGUAAACUGACUGAAAAUCAGGAUGUUGACUUGGUCAAAGCAGCCCCUGGGAGCACCCUGAGGCUGAAGUAAUGAGGUUCUGGGUUGGUACCGCUCCCCUGCCAAACGCUAGAAGGAUGUGUGAAAACUCAUGUCAAUCUGACUGCUCUUUGAUCGUAUUUUGGAGUGUGCCAUGAGGGGAAAAGAUCCCUGCGUGAAAAAGGAAAAUCCGAGUGUGCAGAGGAAACAGAGGACACGCUAGAACUCCUGACGAAGCCAAACGCUGCCAGGCGGCCCACGGGGAAACGGUUGGUGCUGAAGCCAGGGGCGCGAAGGCCUGACUGGCUUGCCUUGGGAAGCAGGGAUCUGGAUGUCACGGCCUGUGCUGAUGCUGGAGCCUCAGGAGCAUGAUGAAUGAAAACCUCAUCAUCAGCUAGAAUAACACACACAAAAAGCAAAACAAAAUAUCAGUUUGCUUAAUAAAAGCAGAGAAAGGCAGAAGGUAUCCCAACCAUCAUGCAGUAAACCCCCAUAAUUUGCAGGUUCAUGGGGACCGAGCCUUACCGCGAAUACAAAAAAAAACUUGAGUAAUUGAUGUCCCUCUAAAAGUAUUUAUAUUUUUCUGUAUUAAUUGUUUACACAAUAAAUAUACCUCAAACCAGAAACACUUUAAAUCAUUUCAAACUCAUCUCACAUUAGCCUUACAAAUAAAAGGCUUUCAGAGGCUUGAGCCAUUCUGCAAACCAGAAACAUACACAAGCGACAAAAGAUUUUCUCCUAACAACUAGUGAUGGCGAGAUGAAGCGUCAUGAAGCAUUGUAACACUUCAGCCAUUGGUUUGAGUUAAUGGUUCCUUUCUUGAUGCUUCAUUGCACACGAAACCACCUGCUGGCCAUGUACAUAAUCAGAGGCAGCUGUAUCUUUACCACAUACAGUAUGUGCUGCGUUGCUUUUUGGCUCUUGUGAAUGACCAUGUAUUACAAAACAAUGUUUGAUCAAGAAAUCUCCCAACAUAAAGUGUAAAAUAUAUUAUUGAACGUAUUCUGUGUGCUUAAAAUGUUCAUCAUCACUGGUAUUGCAGGUUGUAUAAUGUUUUUCUGUCACUUUGGGAACAUGGCAUGGGCUUAAGAGGGCAGAGGAUUUUGAAAGGACUUAUUUAGAAAUAACAGUUUAUCAUCAUUUUUGUGUUAAGUGAUUAAUUCAAGAGCAAGAUUUUUAAAUUGGGUACAGUAAUUUCUCCUCUUCCAAUGAGGUUUUAUUUUACCUUGCUUUCUGUGAACACAAUAAAUACU